CAGUAGCCGCGGUAAUACGGAGGGUGCAAGCGUUAUCCGGAUUCACUGGGUUUAAAGGGUGCGUAGGCGGAUCUGUAAGUCAGUGGUGAAAUCUCCAGGCUUAACCUGGAAACUGCCGUUGAUACUAUAGGUCUUGAAUUUUGUGGAGGUUAGCGGAAUAUGUCAUGUAGCGGUGAAAUGCAUAGAUAUGACAUAGAACACCAAUUGCGAAGGCAGCUGGCUACACAACUAUUGACGCUGAGGCACGAAAGCGUGGGGAUCAAACAGGAUUAGAUACCCGCGUAGUCCCUGUCUCUUAUAC
Molecule: ribosomal RNA, 301 nt
Filed under: uncultured bacterium
Lineage: Bacteria
Description: partial 16S ribosomal RNA
Rfam family: Bacterial small subunit ribosomal RNA
Source: RNAcentral